CCUGGCUCACAUUGAACGCUUGGCGGCAUGGCUAAAACAUGCAAGUCGAGCGCGAAAGAGGGGCAACCUCGAGUAGAGCGGCGAAAGGGUGAGUAAUGCGUUCCUACGUGCCUUGAGGUCGAGGAUAGCCAGGGGAAACUCUGGGUAAUACUCGAUGUGGUCUACGGAUCAAAGGCUUGCCGCCUCAAGAGCGGGGAACGUCCUAUCAGGUAGUUGGUGAGGUAAAGGCUCACCAAGCCUUUGACGGGUAGCGGGUGUGAGAGCAUGGCCCGCCACAUCGGGACUGAGACACUGCCCGGACUCCUACGGGAGGCUGCAGUAACGAAUCUUCCGCAAUGCGCGAAAGCGUGACGGAGCAAUGCCGCGUGCAGGAUGAAGCCCCUCGGGGGUGUAAACUGCUGUCAGGGAUUAGCAACACAAUGAGCAGUCCCAAAGGAAGAGACGACUAACUCUGUGCCAGCAGUCGCGGUAAUACAGAGGUCUCGAGCGUUAGUCGGAAUCACUGGGCUUAAAGCGUGCGUAGGCGGGGAUGCAGGCGUCGUGUGAAAUCCCUCGGCUCAACCGAGGAACUGCACGGCGAACCGCAUCUCUUGAGAGAGGUAGGGGCGGUCGGAACGAUAGGUGGAGUGGUGAAAUGCGUUGAUAUCUAUCGGAACGCCGAAGGUGAAGACAGGCCGCUGGGCCUUCUCUGACGCUGAGGCACGAAAGCGUGGGUAGCGAACGGGAUUAGAUACCCCGGUAGUCCACGCCGUAAACGAUGUGCACUAGAUCGAGGGGAUUCUGACAUCAUUCUCGGUCGAAGCAAAAGUAUUGAGUGCACCGCCUGGGGAGUACGGUCGCAAGGCUAAAACUCAAAGGAAUUGACGGGGGCUCACACAAGCGGUGGAGCAUGUGGCUUAAUUCGAAGCAACGCGAAGAACCUUAUCCUGGGUUUGACAUGCAUGGAUUAGCCCGUGGAAACACGGGUGACACUCUCGUAGUGGAACAUGCACAGGUGCUGCAUGGCUGUCGUCAGCUCGUGCUGUGAAGUGUCGGGUUAAGUCCCUUAACGAGCGAAACCCCUAUCGCUAGUUGCUAACAGGUAAUGCUGAGGACUCUAGUGAGACUGCCGGUGUUAAACCGGACGAAGGUGGGGAUGACGUCAAGUCCUCAUGGCCUUUAUGCCCAGGGCUGCACACGUGCUACAAUGGUGCAAACAGAACGAUGCAAGACCGCAAGGUGGAGCAAAUCGCUUAAAAUGCACCCCAGUUCGGAUUGUGGGCUGCAACCCGCCCACAUGAAGUCGGAAUCGCUAGUAAUCGCGGAUCAGCUACGCCGCGGUGAUAUGUUCCUGAGCAUUGUACAC
RNAcentral lists this ribosomal RNA (1345 nucleotides) under uncultured bacterium. RNAcentral describes it as "16S ribosomal RNA". It matches the Rfam family "Bacterial small subunit ribosomal RNA", at positions 18 to 1388 of the family's 1533-position model. The record is from RNAcentral.